Molecule: ribosomal RNA, 637 nt
Filed under: Pleurotus sapidus
Lineage: Eukaryota; Fungi; Basidiomycota; Agaricomycetes; Agaricales; Pleurotaceae
Description: LSU rRNA
Rfam family: Eukaryotic large subunit ribosomal RNA
Source: RNAcentral
UGCAUAUCCCAAAAAGCGGAGGAAAAGAAACUAACAAGGAUUCCCCUAGUAACUGCGAGUGAAGCGGGAAAAGCUCAAAUUUAAAAUCUGGUGGUCUUUGGCCAUCCGAGUUGUAAUCUAGAGAAGUGUUAUCCGCGCUGGACCGUGUACAAGUCCCCUGGAAUGGGGCGUCAUAGAGGGUGAGAAUCCCGUCUUUGACACGGACUACCAGGGCUUUGUGAUGCACUCUCAAAGAGUCGAGUUGUUUGGGAAUGCAGCUCAAAAUGGGUGGUAAAUUCCAUCUAAAGCUAAAUAUUGGCGAGAGACCGAUAGCGAACAAGUACCGUGAGGGAAAGAUGAAAAGAACUUUGGAAAGAGAGUUAAACAGUACGUGAAAUUGUUGAAAGGAAACGCUUGAAGUCAGUCGCGUCUGCCAGGGAUCAACCUUACUUUUGUGAGGCGUACUUCCUGGUUGAUGGGUCAGCAUCAGUUUUGGUCGCUGGAUAAAGGUCAGAGAAAUGUGGCACCUUCGGGUGUGUUAUAGUCUUUGAUCAGAUACAGUGGCUGGGACUGAGGAACUCAGCGCCGCAAGGCUGUCUUAGGAUGCUGGCAAAAUGGCUUUAAUCGACCCGUCUUGAAACACGGCCAAAGGGAGUCA